Molecule: non-coding RNA, 1460 nt
Organism: Pseudonaja textilis
Lineage: Eukaryota; Metazoa; Chordata; Lepidosauria; Squamata; Elapidae
Source: RefSeq, a predicted model, not a curated record
AUUUCAACAUAAAACAGCCCCAUUUAAUGGUGAUUGCAACAUAAAACCAUAACUGAUAGGCCCCAUUACCCUUAUAUCUCGAGGACUACUUGAAUGGUAGUUGGGAUAUUCUGGUAUUCAAAAUCUGGAGGAUACCAAGGUACAAGAUAGAAAUUCCAUAAUAAAUCUUUAAAAACCACCCAAAACCUUUUUGAAGAAUUCUACGCUUCUGCAAAAUGAAAUAUCCAGAAAGUUCUCCUGAUCACCAGAAACAGGUAGUUAGCCUUUAUCAAGGCAGUGAGUCCUCCAGUGUGUCACCAGGUGGGAAUUCUGACUGAAACUUUUCCCACUUUGGACAUUCAUUCCGUUUUUCUCCUGUGUGAAUCCUCUGGUGUGUCACCAGGCUGGCAUUAUUACUGAAUCUUUUCCCACGCUCUGGACACUCAUACGGUUUCUCUCCUAUCUGAAUCCUCUGGUGACUUAACAGGUUGCAAAUAUAACUAAAAUGUCCCACACUCCAGACAUUCAUACAGUUUGUCCAGGGAAUGAGUCCUCUGGUAUGUCAUUGGGCCCGAAGUCUGAAACUUUUGCCACAAUCUGGACACUCAUACAGUGUGUCUCCUGUGAGUUCUCUGGUGUCCUCAGGUGGCAUUUUUUUCCACAGUUAGGAUAUGCAAAGGAUUUCUUCCCAGGGUGAGUCUUCAGGUGUCUCAUGAAGUGGGAAUUUCGAAUGAAACUUUUCCCUCAAACCAGGCACUUCCGGUUUCUCCCUGGUGUGAGUCCUCUGAUGCUGCUAUGCUUGCUGAAGCAUUUACCACAUUGAAAGCACUUGCAGGCCAUCUGUCCUAUAUGUGUCCUUCAAUGAACCCCAAGAAAGCUGUUCAGACUAAACCAUUUCUUGCAUUGCUAUGGCUUUUCUACAAUGGGGAUCCUCUCAUACAUAAUCAGUUGUGAUUUACAAUCUGUACUUUUCCCACAAAAGGCACAACAGAGGCUUUUCCAACACUGAUAUUCUUGAGGUCAAAUAUAUGUGUGAUCAUUUGUUUACUGGUGCUUUAAUUCCACCUGUUUUCCUCCUCACAGGGCCAGCCCUGCAUCACUGUCUGCCCUAUUUGCCUAGCCAAUAGACCUUACUCCCUGCUGACUUCCAGAGUUACCCCUCUUUUUCUGAAUGAAAUAUAAUCUCCCCCUUGAGCUAUCAUGUAACGUAUUCUUGAGUUUCUCAUAGUCUACUUUUUCUUGCUUGAAAUCUCCUCUUAGUUUGCUCCUUUGUCUCUCAACUGUUGAGAAAGGAGAAGAAUUUUGUGGUUUUCUGAAGGAAAUGGAAAAUAGUUUGGUUUCUGGCUGGCUUUGCUUUCUUUUCCAAUGUUGCUUGUUAUUCUCAGUUUUCCAGAGUGCUCCUAUUGCCAUCCUCUUUGUCUAUAAGAUUCAAAGAAAAAUGUAACUUUAAUCCUUUAUAAAAUGAUUGAAGAUGUAAAAAC